UACGAAGGGGGCUAGCGUUGCUCGGAAUCACUGGGCGUAAGGGGUGCGUAGGCGGGUCUUUAAGUCAGGGGUGAAAUCCUGGAGCUCAACUCCAGAACUGCCUUUGAUACUGAGGAUCUUGAGUCCGGGAGAGGUGAGUGGAACUGCGAGUGUAGAGGUGAAAUUCGUAGAUAUUCGGAAGAACACCAGUGGCGAAGGCGGCUCACUGGUCCGGUACUGACGCUGAGGUGCGAAAGCGUGGGGAGCAAACAGG
This 253-nucleotide ribosomal RNA is filed under the name uncultured bacterium. RNAcentral's name for it is "partial 16S ribosomal RNA". It matches the Rfam family "Bacterial small subunit ribosomal RNA", at positions 524 to 776 of the family's 1533-position model. The record is from RNAcentral.